Molecule: transfer RNA, 85 nt
Filed under: Burkholderia plantarii
Lineage: Bacteria; Pseudomonadati; Pseudomonadota; Betaproteobacteria; Burkholderiales; Burkholderiaceae
Description: tRNA-Leu
Source: RNAcentral
GCAGCGCCAGCCGGUGGACCAGGCCGUCGUUGAGCACGGCGAGCCGGAUGCCGGUCAGCGUCAGUUCGGGCGCGUUGCGCUGCGC